GCUCUUCAUCCAAAUUCAAAUAACAACAUUCUGCCAUCCUCCACAACUCAUUCUGUGUGUACCAAAGGGACUCUUCCCCUCAUAUCUAAACUACUACAGCAGUGCUGGCUGGUCUCUGUGCCUCCAGCUACCCUGUACUCACUGAUUAGUUCUCCAGGGAUCCCACUGUCAGCAGACCAAAGUAACUUCCUACAAUGACUUCCUAUUGACAACUGAAUCAAAAUAAACUCUUCACUGUAAUGUUUAAAGCCUUCAA
This is a long non-coding RNA of Gorilla gorilla gorilla (western lowland gorilla), 256 nucleotides long. RefSeq lists it as uncharacterized. The transcript is spliced from 2 exons. The record is from RefSeq and is a predicted model, not a curated record. NCBI's taxonomy places the organism in Eukaryota, Metazoa, Chordata, Mammalia, Primates, Hominidae.